UACGUAGGGUCCAAGCGUUAAUCGGAAUUACUGGGCGUAAAGCGUGCGCAGGCGGUUGUGUAAGUCAGAUGUGAAAUCCCCGGGCUUAACCUGGGAAUGGCAUUUGGGACUGCACGGCUAGAGUACGGCAGAGGAGACUAGAAUUCCUGGUGUAGCAGUGAAAUGCGUAGAUAUCAGGAGGAAUACCGAUGGCGAAGGCAGGUCGCUGGGUCGAUACUGACGCUCAUGCACGAAAGCGUGGGGAGCAAACAGG
RNAcentral lists this ribosomal RNA (253 nucleotides) under uncultured bacterium. RNAcentral describes it as "partial 16S ribosomal RNA". It matches the Rfam family "Bacterial small subunit ribosomal RNA", at positions 524 to 776 of the family's 1533-position model. The record is from RNAcentral.